Long non-coding RNA from Acinonyx jubatus (cheetah), 4557 nucleotides. RefSeq lists it as uncharacterized. The transcript has 6 exons. The record is from RefSeq and is a predicted model, not a curated record. Lineage: Eukaryota; Metazoa; Chordata; Mammalia; Carnivora; Felidae.
UUUUUGAGACAGGGACUGAGCAUGAGCGAGGGAGGAGCAGAGAGAGAGGGAGACACAGAAUCUUCUGAAGCAGGCUCCAGGCUCCGAACUGUCAGCACAGAGUCCCACACAGGGCUCAAACUCACAAACUGUGAGAUCAUGACCUGAGCCGAAGUUGGACACUUAACCAACUGGGCCACCGAGGCGCCCCUAAUAUAUUAGAAAUUUAAUCAGGAGAUGAACUCGCUAAGGGAGCGUGAGGUGUGUUCAUACUCUCUGUGGGUAUUUUCUCACCUUCCAGUUUCAUGGAACCUCAGGAGUGUGUUGGAGAUUAGCUCUUGAUUGAUGAGCACGAACUGUAAGAUUUAGAAGUAGAUGUGUCGAUGUUGAUGUGUCAACAUAGUUGAGAGGAAGCAGGAAUUCAUCACAGAAGGUUCGGCUUCUGGAUACGAAGGGGCAGAGGAGAGGGUAACACAUGGUCCGAAACUGAUGCUUAUGCUCACGCCUUCGUUCCCAGCAGUGCCCCUGUCUGGUGUGUGGCAGGCACUCAGCAAAUGUUUGUUCACUCUGAAUAAAUAAAUGGGGUAUAUUGUAGGUCACGUGUUGAAGAUAACCUCUAUGACCUGCAGAUUCUGGGUUUGUUUACCCUCUGAAGUUUUUAUCCAGGGCAGCAAGGAAUCGGCGAGACCACCUUUGUCAGAAGUCCCUGAGAGCAGUCAUCUAUCCUUGCAAAGAGUGACCCAGAGGACUUGGAGGGGCAUCUGGUAGCCCACCCUGGCUGCUGCUUAGAGUCACUUGGGGAGCUCUUGAAAUGCAUGGCUGCCAGGCUGGACCUCACUCCAGACCAAUCAAAUCAAAAUCUCUGAGGGCAGGGCCUGGGUGUUGGCAUUUUUCUUUACAAGGACUUCCCAGGCGAUUCUAAUGGGAUCCAGGGGUGUGAAGCACCUGACAAGAGCAUCCGGAGAUGGGAAGGCUGGAGGCAGCUGCAAGAAACCCUGGUUGGCUAGAGGUACACUGCAGGUCUCACCUGGAUGAGGGUGGAAGUGUGUUGGCUACCCCUUAAGUUUCCAGGGUUCUUUCUUUUUUUUUUAACUUGUUUUAUUUUUUUAUUUUUUUUAAUUUAUAUCCAAAUUAGUUAGCAUAUAGUGCAACAAUGAUUUCAGGAGUAGAUUCCUUAGUGCCCUUUAGCCAUCCCCCCCACACCUCCUUUAGUAACCCUCAGUUUGUUCUCCAUAUUUAUGAGUCUCUUCUCUUUUGUCCCCCUCCCUGUUUUUAUAUUAUUUUUGUUUCCCUUCCCUUAUGUUCAUCUGUUUUGUCUCUUAAAGUCCUCAUAUGAGUGAAGUCAUGUGAUUUUUGUCUUUCUGUGACUAAUUUCACUUCGCAUAAUACCUUCCAGUUCCAUCCAUGUAGUUGCAAAUGGCAAGAUUUCAUUCUUCUUGAUUGCUGAGGAAUACUCCAUUGUGUGUGUGUGUGUGUGUGUGUGUGUGUGUGUGUACACAUGUCUUUAUCCAUUCAUCCACCGAUGGACAUUUGGGCUCUUUCCAUACUUUGGCCAUUGUUGAUAGUGCUGCUAUAAACAUGGGGGUGCAUGUGUCCCUUUGAAACAGCAUGCCUGUAUCCUAUGGAUAAAUGCCUAGUAGUGCAAUUGCUGGGUCGUAGGGUAGUUCUAGUUUUAGUUUUUUGAGGAAACUCCAUACUGUUUUCCAGAGUGGCUUCACCAGCUUGCAUUCCCAUCCAGGGUUAUUUCUAAGAGACCUCUCUGAGCUUGGACUGAAGACAGCCCAGCGUGGGGGCAGGGAAGGUGCUGGAAGGAUGGCUGCAGAGAAAGGAGAAUUAUCACCUUAACUCUUGUUUCUCCAACUGCCCCGUGUUGAACCUCGUUCUCAUCCUUCUGGCUCUGCUGACCCCAGAGCACUCUCAGCUAGAUGCCCUGGGCUCCUCUGCACGCAUCUCCACUCCUCCCCUGAAGAGGCCUCACAAUGCUGGCUGGAAACUGCUGACAUUCCCCUGGCUACUCCAUGAGCCCUGGAAAGAAAGGAUGUUUCUGUCGUGUAGCUCUGGCACAUUGUAGGAUUGAGCUUUUCAGUCUGUGUUAGAAAAGACUCAUCAUAUGACUGACUUCAGCCAAUGAAGCAUAAGUGGAAGUGACAUGCAUCACCUCUGGAUGAAAGUCAGCAAGAGUCAGUUUAUAAUUUCCCACAUUUCCUUGCCCUUGUCAUGGUGACCAUGACGCUUCCAAUGAUGGAGGCUCUAUUUGUUUUUGUUCCUGAGUGAGACAACGUGGGGACGAGUCUCUAGUGGACUUGCAAGACUUUAUUGUUUCAAGCGACUGAGCGUUGGGGUUUGUUACAAAGCCCAUACUGACUAAUGUGCUUUUAAUUCUUUAUUUACACAUUUAAAACGCUGCUUACAUUUUCUGAUCAGCAUAUGUGCAUUAUGGGGAACUUUGAAAAUACAGAAAAGUAUCAAAAAGAAAUAAACGUGCACUGAAAUUACCUAUACAGAAAUAAUUUCUGUUAAUAUUUUGAUGUAUUUUCUUUCUCUCUUUUUCUCAUAAAACUAAGAUCACACUAUAUAUACACUAUUGGUGUUUUUGGUUUAUAUUAUAUCAAUAGUCUUUAAAAUAUAUCAUCUGUGGCACAAUAUUAGUGAAGGAAUGUUGUAAUCUAUUUUUAUAUUUGUGUAUUUCCUAUUUAUAUUAUAUAUUCAAUAACAAAAUAACAUUUUACUUUUUAUUCUUUUUCUUGUUGUAAACAACAUCCCAAUGAUACAUUAGUAUGUAUCUUCCUAUCUUCGCUCAGAUUGCUGCUUAUGUCCUUAGGGUAGAAGCUAGAAGGAGAAUUACUGGGCCAAGAAGUAUAAAUAUUUUUAAGACUUUUGCUACCUGUUGCAAAACUGCCCAGGAGAAAGGUUGUACCAAUUAGCACUGCAGCAAGGAGACAUGGGCCAUCUCUCCACCUCCGUUGACGGCUAGAAUUCCUUUUAAUCUCUGUUAAUUUGUCCCCCAAACACCAAACUGUUAAACAGAGAGCAACGCGGGAAGCCAGCAGCGCUGUUCUGUUGCCACGGAGCCUCAGCACGUGUUUUUGAAGUACACACACAAAUGGACAGACGGAUGUACAUUUACCUAUAAAUAUCAUCAGUCGGCGGAAUCCCCAGUAACAAAGAAAAAGUAGGUAAGGGGAUUGUGCCUCACACUGCCCUUCUUUCUUUUCUCUUUAAGAUUGCCCUGGAUGUGUGUUGUGAUUUCAUUUUACCAGCAGGUGUGUGUGCGUGUGUGCGUGUGUGCGUGUGUGUUUGGAGGUGGUGGGGAGAGGGGGGCAGGGUAUGACUCCCCACAGGGUGGUUAGUCUGCACCUUCAUAUUCCCGUGAGUUCAACCCUGGGUCCCACAUCAGACAGGCUGUCUGGAUGCUCUUUAAACUAAGCAGCAGGAUAGAUGCUACUUCUGGCAUCACCCUUUGCUACAAAGGCAUUGAAAACAAGGCCUGAGGCAAUUAGGACAUCAAAUAGUCCUGUUGCUCUUAUAAUACCUAAAUAUUAAAUAUUUAAAAAGGUAAGCAGGCUUGAAAUUUGUAAUGGAAGGAAAAUUUCCCUUUAAGUCAUUAAGGGGUAUGAGUAGCCCCAAGCCUUUGAAAAAUAGUUGGAAAAGUUUGAAGAAUUCAUAACUCAAAAGAACCUCGGUUACGUUCAUAAAUAUGUAGAGCUUAGAGUAAUAAAAUAAGGGCCAAUUCAGAGGUACAUUUAGGAAGGUGACCAGAGCAUAAUUAAAGUAACUGGCUUCACAGCCAAUUUGGAGUUCUGUCUCCAGGAAAGUGGUUACUAUGAGACAGUCACAGACAACCCUGAGAAAACGAGCGCACAAACCCUCAUCAAAGAAGAAAAUAAGCUGAGGUGGUUAAGAGAGCAGAUUCUAUAGUGCGAGGGAACAGAUCCUAAUCUGCCUAAAUAAUUUAUGAUCUAGGUGGCCUUAGGAAACAAGUAGAACUUUUCUCCGCCUCCAUUUUCUCACCUGUCAAUUGGGACCUACCUCCUAGGGUGCUCGUGACAAUGCUAGCAGUGUCUUUGAUGCAAAGUAAAUGCUUAGUAUUACUAAAUCUAGUGAUAUUUUUUUUUUCUCCUAGAGGCACCAAGAGUCUGAUACAAAUAUGAGUAUUUCAAAUAAAGAGCAUCUGUAAGAAAAAGACAGUGGAUCCAAGCUAAUAACAGACAGCAGUUCAAAUUUUUUAUUGAUUGGAUUUGAUUAUAUAGUCACAAAAAUAAAUAACUGACUCAGUUUCAGAUACAAACAAGACAGAAGUGUGACAAAGAAAGUGUUUAGUUCUACAAAAUAGAGGGAGUGACUUUCAGUUUGCUCUGUUUUGUGUGUGUGUGUGUGUGUGUGUGUGUGUGUGUGUGUGUGUGUGUAGUUUACUAAAUCUCCUUUUUCUCCAGGAGAGAAAAAAAUUCCACAAAGAUUGUUUCAUCUUUUGAUUAUAUUGUUUUGUAUUGGCUUAUAGAUAUGCCUAUUAUAGACUCAAUUCUUGAGUCAUGAAGAUGUGACCCAUAUUAGUUAGCACAAACUGUGUGUUGUAACCAA